Molecule: non-coding RNA, 714 nt
Organism: Misgurnus anguillicaudatus (oriental weatherfish)
Lineage: Eukaryota; Metazoa; Chordata; Actinopteri; Cypriniformes; Cobitidae
Source: RefSeq, a predicted model, not a curated record
AUAUCUGUAUUUUAAUGGCACUGUUUUCUUCAGUACUGCUAUUUCUGGUAUUUAACUCCUGGGGAUGCAAAGGAUGUAAAAAUAUAAAGAAUGUAACCAGAGAUGCUCCAAAACUAUCAAGAGAACCAGAGAAUGAGGAUGAAGCUAUAUUUUCUGGUGUAUUCUAUGUUAACCAGCAUUAACACCAGCUCCCAUGCAGAAUGGUCCAUAGACCACAGUGAAUAUACCAUCUAUAAUGUGUGUAUAAUGAAAAAAAUUGAUUUUAAACUUAAGACCUUACAUUUAGAAAUGCUGUAGACAAGAUUAUGACCUAACAAUUUUAGGGUAUACUUAUGUAUAUUAGAACAUUAACUUUACACUUCAAACAAAGUUUUACUAAAAUAUUCAUGGAUCUAUUGGUUGAAUAUUUAAAUUGUACUUAUUUAAAUACACAUUUUGAAAAUAGCCACCUGAUUUGAAAUUGCAAUUUGAAACAAACUUAAGAAAAUGGGGAAUUUUAGCUGGAGUUUGAGCUAAAGUUUCAUGCAAGUUUAUGUUGUCUUGUUGUCUUCUAUAGUUUUAUGUAACAUGUAUGGUUGCUGUUUGGCAAUCUCAAAAUAAUCAUUGUUAUUUGUAUUAUUUGAAGUAGUACUGUAAAAAUAAUAAUAAUAGCAACAGUAAUACGCCUGCAUUGAAAUAAGUGUGAAAUAUGUGUGAAAUAUGUUGUUUAUACAG